RNAcentral lists this long non-coding RNA (924 nucleotides) under Calidris pugnax (ruff). RNAcentral's name for it is "lncRNA (ENSCPUG00000006493.1)". The record is from RNAcentral. Lineage: Eukaryota; Metazoa; Chordata; Aves; Charadriiformes; Scolopacidae.
GGGUUGGGGGGGGAAAGAGGGAUGCUGCGACCCCGCGGCCUAACGCAGAGCUGCCUGCUCCGCUGCCACCCAGCUCUCUUUUUUAUUUCUUCCCUUCCUUUUUCACGCUUUUUGAUUUUUGUUCCAAUUUUUUUCUUCACCUCUUUAGCCAGAGGGGUGCCUGGGAGCCCAUCGCCACCCCUCACCCCCUUUCCCUGCCCUUCACCUCCCAUCCCUUCUUCUCCCAUCCCUUCUUCUCCCAUCCCUUCUCUUCUCCCAUCCCUUCUCUUCUCCCAUCCCUUCCUUCUCCCAUCCCUUCUCCCAUCCCUUCUCCCAUCCCUUCUCCCAUCCCUUUGCAGCUGGAGGCCAACCCGCCCUGCAUCCCUCCAUCCCCGACCCUCUGCCCCAGUGCUCCCAGCAGGUACCUCGCACUGGGCAAGGACAGGCCUUACUGGAAGGGACGGUGUCAUCCCCCCCCACAACCUCCCCCAUGGGGCAGGGGGGGCCUUUGAUGAUGGCAGUGAGGGGGGGUCCAUCUCUCUUUGCAGCCCCGCGCGCAGACCCUCACCUCCGGGACGGCACCCACAGGAAGAACAUCAACAGGAGUUUGGGGUCCCUGGGACGACUCUUUGCACCCUGACCCCCCCUGGGGUGCUGCAGGUAUUUGGGGGCAGCCCCCCACCCCCCCCUUUCCUUCCUGGGCUCAUAGCCCAGCGGGUGCGGAUGCCGCAAGGAGCCCGCCGUGCCGUGCCGUGCCGUGCCGUGCCGUGCCGCGCCAAUAAAGCUCUUUUCGCUGCGGGUCUCCCGCAUCCUCUCCUUUGUUUGCCGAGGUUUCUCUUCCAGCGGCGGAGGCAGGACCCGCACUCAGCACCAGGUGGGGGGGAUGAAUAUUAAAAUUUCCCCCCCAACCCAAAAUAAAUAAAAAAAAAAACCUAAAAAACCUCA